GGGCGUAUCCUCAGUAACUUCCUCAGGAGCGUAUAUGGUAAACCUUCUGAAUCCUUGAUGUUCACGGAGACAAACUGGAAAGUGAACGAGAGGCUCUUGUAACAACGCUGAUACAGUCGAUACAAAACUGAGACGAUGCAGAGCACAGCCGCGUUAAUCACUCUGCUGCGGGAAGACAUAUGUAAUUCAAAUUCCGUUCCAAAACUUCAGUCACAGUUUGACUUUGUAUAGAAUCUUCAAUUGAAAAUAAUUAUCCCUCGAAUUUCAAAGACAUUGUGGUUUGACUCCAAGAGUGGCAGGCUGAAAAUAAGAAAAUUUUCUCAGCCUUUACUCUGUGUCCAUCUGGAAAGAAAUAUGAAUAUCUGAUGUUAAAAGACUGAGCUGGGGCUGGCCCCGUGACCCAGUGGUUAAGUUCACGUGCUCCACUUCGGCGGCCCAGGGUUUCGCUGGUUCAGAUCCUGGGCGCGGACAUGGCAAAGCUCAUCAGGUUGUGCUGAGGUGGCGUCCCACAUAUCAGAGCCAGAGGCACUCAACUGGAACAUACAAGUUUACAGAUUUGCUUCAUUUGUCCUCAUCCAUAAACAAGGCAUCUCCUUGACUUCUUCCCACCUGAGCGGCCGUCUUCACUGCAGCGCGUUUCUCAGAAGAGUGACCGUCACCUUCGCUAGAUGCACAGUCUCGUACACCACUCCCUUCUCACUAAAACCUUUUCUUCUGUUUCUCCUCCCGACUUGGGUCUGCUUUAUUCUCUGGGUUUUGCUGGUUUCUCCAGCUCACUCGUUGGUGUUGGAUUCCCCAGAGCAGUGUCUGUCUUUUCAGCAGCCGUGCAAGGAGAGUUCUGAACCCGGGUUUCUCUUCCUCAUGCUGCACACCUCCUGCGUGGGCAAUCUCAUCCCCACCAGGAAUCUAAUUGCUGCACACGCACUGAGCUCUUCCGCCUCACCUUCUCUGUCCCGGAUGCCACUCCUCACUCUAGAGAUGCGGUUUGUUUCCUACCUUCAAGUUCCAUCGUCAGCUCAAACUCAGAAUGUUUCAACCAAACAGCUGGACCCUGAGAACCUUCCUCACCGUCCUCUGAUAUGGAAAUCUUGCAAUUAUAUUUAACACUUCUUGACAAAUCACCCACCUCACCCGUACAAUCGAUCAUCAAGUUCAGUCCAUUCUACCCCUGAAACCACUUUCCAGUCCACCGUUUUCUUUCCAUGAGCACCUCCCCAUCUUCACCAUCACUCACCCGUCACUGAAUCACUUCUCUCCGGGUUUUCCUGCCCCCGAGAUCUCUUCCUUUGAUACUGACAUUGUAUAGCUGCUGGAAUUCUCCAUCACGUGAAUGUGAGUCGAUUCUAAUUUAAAACCGUUCUUACAGGAUAAAAUUCAAGUAAUUCAGCACGCCAUACCACCCCGGUACAAUCCACCUUCAACUCCAGUGUCCGGGCCAUUGCUGCUCAAACCCCCGGCAGAGGGGCCAGCUUUUCCUUCUUCUAAUCCAUUGUGGGCAAUACUUUUAUAAAGUCCAAUAAAAAUUAUUUAUUAGCACGAUUAUCACUUGCUGGGGAGUUGUAGGAAGGCUGAAUUGCUAUCAAAGUCUUUAAACAGUUAAUUACCUUUUCCCUAGCAUCACGGACUCUUCGUAGUUUGCAGGCCAGCCCUGGUCUGGGUUAGUGUCUUGCUUUUCUCCUUGAUAUUUUUGUGUAACAUUUGCAGUAAU
RNAcentral lists this long non-coding RNA (1708 nucleotides) under Equus caballus (horse). RNAcentral describes it as "lncRNA (ENSECAG00000043097.2)". Lineage: Eukaryota; Metazoa; Chordata; Mammalia; Perissodactyla; Equidae. The record is from RNAcentral.